Molecule: ribosomal RNA, 651 nt
Filed under: uncultured archaeon
Lineage: Archaea
Description: bacterial SSU rRNA
Rfam family: Archaeal small subunit ribosomal RNA
Source: RNAcentral
UUCCGGUUGAUCCCGCCGGAGGUUACUGCUAUCGGUGUUCGACUAAGCCAUGCGAGUCAAAUGUUCUUCGUGAACAUGGCGGACUGCUCAGUAACACGUGGAUAACCUGCCCUUAGGUUCGGCAUAACUCCGGGAAACUGGAGAUAAUUCCGAAUAGGUCAAAUAUGCUGGAAUGCUUUUUGGCCAAAAGACCUCGGUUGCCUAAGGAUGGAUCUGCGGUCUAUCAGGUUGUAGUAGGUGUAACGUACCUACUAGCCUACGACGGAUAUGGGUUGUGAGAGCAAGAGCCCAGAGAUGGAUUCUGAGACAUGAAUCCAGGCCCUACGGGGCGCAGCAGGCGCGAAAACUUUACAAUGCGGGAAACCGCGAUAAGGGGACACCGAGUGCCAGCAUUUAUGUUGGCUGUCCACAUGUGUAAACGGCAUGUGUUAGCAAGGGCCGGGCAAGACCGGUGCCAGCCGCCGCGGUAACACCGGCGGCCCGAGUGGUAAUCACUUUUAUUGGGUCUAAAGGGUCCGUAGCCGGUUUGAUCAGUUCUUCGGGAAAUCUGACAGCUCAACUGUUAGGCUUCCGGGGAAUACUGUCAGACUUGGGACCGGGAGAGGUAAGAGGUACUACAGGGGUAGGAGUGAAAUCUUUGUAUCCCUGUGG